This 380-nucleotide ribosomal RNA is filed under the name uncultured eukaryote. RNAcentral describes it as "partial 18S ribosomal RNA". It matches the Rfam family "Eukaryotic small subunit ribosomal RNA", at positions 592 to 976 of the family's 1831-position model. The record is from RNAcentral.
CAAUAGCGUAUAUUAAAGUUGUUGCAGUUAAAAAGCUCGUAGUUGGAUUUGUGGCGUACGGUGUGUUCCGGGCACUUGUUGUCUGAGUAACCUGCUGUUGCCAUCCUUGGGUGGAACCUGUGUGGCAUUAGGUUGUCGUGCAGGGGAUGCCCAUCAUUUACUGUGAAAAAAUUAGAGUGUUCAAAGCAGGCUUAUGCCGUUGAAUAUAUUAGCAUGGAAUAAUGAGAUAGGACUUUUUUGCUAUUUUGUUGGUUUGCGCAAAGAGGUAAUGAUUAAUAGGAACAGUUGGGGGUAUUCGUAUUCCAUUGUCAGAGGUGAAAUUCUUGGAUUUUUGGAAGACGAACUACUGCGAAAGCAUUUACCAAGGAUGUUUUCAUUAA